This 465-nucleotide ribosomal RNA is filed under the name Vreelandella stevensii. RNAcentral describes it as "partial 16S ribosomal RNA". It matches the Rfam family "Bacterial small subunit ribosomal RNA", at positions 338 to 795 of the family's 1533-position model. The record is from RNAcentral. Lineage: Bacteria; Pseudomonadati; Pseudomonadota; Gammaproteobacteria; Oceanospirillales; Halomonadaceae.
CCUACGGGGGGCAGCAGUGGGGAAUAUUGGACAAUGGGGGCAACCCUGAUCCAGCCAUGCCGCGUGUGUGAAGAAGGCCCUCGGGUUGGAAAGCACUUUCAGUGAGGAAGAACGCCUGGUGGUUAAUACCCAUCAGGAAAGACAUCACUCACAGAAGAAGCACCGGCUAACUCCGUGCCAGCAGCCGCGGUAAUACGGAGGGUGCGAGCGUUAAUCGGAAUUACUGGGCGUAAAGCGCGCGUAGGUGGCUUGAUAAGCCGGUUGUGAAAGCCCCGGGCUCAACCUGGGAACGGCAUCCGGAACUGUCAAGCUAGAGUGCAGGAGAGGAAGGUAGAAUUCCCGGUGUAGCGGUGAAAUGCGUAGAGAUCGGGAGGAAUACCAGUGGCGAAGGCGGCCUUCUGGACUGACACUGACACUGAGGUGCGAAAGCGUGGGUAGCAAACAGGAUUAGAUACCCUUGUAGUC